UUAAGACCUAGUCCAGAUGUAACUGCAACAGGGACUGGAGGAAGAUCAAGGAGCCAAGAGAGAGGUUACAAUGUUGGUGCAACUGUGUAUGUGGUGGUGCCAGUCACUGGACCAGGAUGAAAGGAGUAGAACCAAACUCACAGAAGAAGGUGAAAUUUCAUAAGGCAAAGAGGGCCUCAGAAAACCAAAACAGGUGCAGGAUCUUCAUCAUCUAGAAGAAAAUCAACUAAAGCUCAAUAUCCCAACUGGACUAGGUGCAUAGCAAAGCUGAUACCUGGGACAGGCUGUGUCUUACUGCAUUCUGAACAUCUGAUACAAAAUUGAUAACAAAUGUUUGUUGGAUAGAAGGUAUACCCUAAUAAAUUCAAUCUGAUAUAAUGUAUCAAAUUAGGAAGGCAAUAGCCAGGGGCAGUGUAUUAGUUUCCUAUGAUUGUUGUAAUAAAUUCCCAUGAACAAAAAAGUGGCUUGCAAAUGUCACAAAUUUAAGGCUUGUUUUCCUUCUG
This is a non-coding RNA of Odocoileus virginianus texanus, 503 nucleotides long. Lineage: Eukaryota; Metazoa; Chordata; Mammalia; Artiodactyla; Cervidae. The record is from RefSeq and is a predicted model, not a curated record.